GCUCAAAUUUGAAAUCUGGCCCCUUUGGGGUCCGAGUUGUAAUUUGUAGAGGGUGUUUCGGGCGCGAUGCCGGUCUAAGUUCCUUGGAACAGGACGUCGCAGAGGGUGAGAAUCCCGUACGCGACCGGCGAUCAAGCCUGUGUGAAGCCCCUUCGACGAGUCGAGUUGUUUGGGAAUGCAGCUCAAAAUGGGUGGUAAAUUUCAUCUAAAGCUAAAUAUUGGCCAGAGACCGAUAGCGGACAAGUAGAGUGAUCGAAAGAUGAAAAGCACUUUGGAAAGAGAGUCAAACAGUACGUGAAAUUGUUGAAAGGGAAGCGCUUGCAAUCAGACCGGUCCGGAGGCGAUCAGCCGCUGCUCGUUCAGCGGUGCACUCGCCUGCGAUCCGGCCAGCAUCGGUUUGGGCGGUGGGAUAAAAGUCCCGGGAAUGUAGCUUCUCUUGGGGAGUCUUAUAGCCCGGGUCGCAAUGCCGCCCGCCCGGACCGAGGACCGCGCUUCGGCUAGGAUGCUGGCGUAAUGGUUGCAAGCGACCCGUC
Molecule: ribosomal RNA, 533 nt
Filed under: Sticta sp. 13 JAMD-2022
Lineage: Eukaryota; Fungi; Ascomycota; Lecanoromycetes; Peltigerales; Lobariaceae
Description: partial large subunit ribosomal RNA
Rfam family: Eukaryotic large subunit ribosomal RNA
Source: RNAcentral